Suncus etruscus (white-toothed pygmy shrew) is the source of this 119-nucleotide ribosomal RNA. NCBI's taxonomy places the organism in Eukaryota, Metazoa, Chordata, Mammalia, Eulipotyphla, Soricidae. The record is from RefSeq and is a predicted model, not a curated record.
GUCUACGGCAUUACCACCCUGAACGCUCCUGAUCUCGUCUGAUUUCAGAAGCUUAGCAGGGUAGGGCCUGGUUAGUAGUUGGAUGGGAGACCACCUGGGAACACCAGGUGCUGUAGGCU